AUCAAGUGCUUCAGAAGACUGAGAAUUGAACCUUGGAUUCAGUAACAUGGAGCAUCAUGAAAUUUGACCUCUUCAGCCAUGCAUGGUUAACACUCCAUCUAUCUGAGUAAAUCCUGCCUUGAAGAAUCUUGAGUGCAAACCAGUUUGAGAGAGAAGAGGAAAAAUAAAUGUCUCACAUGAGCCCAGGGAAUGCUGUCAUCCAAAAUUACUGUGCAAAACAGCCCAUGUCUCAUGGUCAGCCCUGGGCUAGACAGCUUGAAGGUAGAAUCGCCCGCAUAACUAAUGCAAUGUGACAGGCACAACUGGACUCAGAAUUUUCACAAAAAUCAUUGGAGUCAUGCUCUGUCUUCCAGGCUGGAAUGCAGUGGUAUGAUCACAACUCACAACUCACGGCAUCCUCUACCUCCUGAGCUCAAGG
Pongo pygmaeus (Bornean orangutan) is the source of this 418-nucleotide long non-coding RNA. RefSeq lists it as uncharacterized. NCBI's taxonomy places the organism in Eukaryota, Metazoa, Chordata, Mammalia, Primates, Hominidae. The record is from RefSeq and is a predicted model, not a curated record. The transcript is spliced from 5 exons.